GACAUUCUGGUUCAUUUGCCAAUGUGUUAAUUAAUUUUGAACCGAUAUUAAAUUAUCUGGUGAUAAUCCAAUGUCGUUGUUGAGCAUUACCUCCUUAGAGGGAAGCCUGAUUCGAUAUGAAGUUCACCACCUGUCCUUUCGGUUCAGGUAUAGCACAUAGCGGUGAAUUGGUUUGUCG
Molecule: non-coding RNA, 178 nt
Filed under: Gammaproteobacteria bacterium
Lineage: Bacteria; Pseudomonadati; Pseudomonadota; Gammaproteobacteria
Description: 6S RNA
Rfam family: 6S / SsrS RNA
About the family: E. coli 6S RNA was the first non coding RNA to be sequenced, but its function was unknown until recently. It consists of 184 nucleotides that fold into an extended hairpin structure with a large single-stranded internal bulge.
Source: RNAcentral